GCCCGAGUGCAGGCUUCUGGGGGUCCUCCUAGAAGUUGCAGAGGAGAAUCCUAAGGAGAGUAAACCCCAAGCAGGCACUGCCCGCCCACAGGAUGUGAACCGCAGAGACCAACAGAGGAAUCCAGGCACCUCUACCACGCCCUCCCAGCCCAAUUCUGUGGGUGUCCAAGACACUGAGAUGGGCCCAUGCCGUAGACAUCUGGACUCAGUGCUGCAGCAACUCCAGACUGAGGUCUACCGAGGGGCUCAAACACUCUAUGUGCCCAAUUGUGAUCAUCGAGGCUUCUACCGGAAGCGGCAGUGCCGCUCCUCCCAGGGGCAGCGCCGAGGUCCCUGCUGGUGUGUGGAUCGGAUGGGCAAGUCCCUGCCAGGGUCUCCAGAUGGCAAUGGAAGCUCCUCCUGCCCCACUGGGAGUAGCGGCUAAAGCUGAGGUAUAGAGGGGCUGCAGGGCCACUGGAAGGAACGUGGAGCUGUCAUCACUCAACAAAAAUCCCGAGGCCCUCGAUCCACCUUCAGGCCCUGCCCCAUGGGCCCCUCACCCCUGGGCCUUUACACAUGCGGUUGGAAAGAGUGUUGGUGUUGGCUGGGGUGUCAAUAAAGCUGUGCUUGGGGUC
RNAcentral lists this small RNA (614 nucleotides) under Pongo abelii (Sumatran orangutan). RNAcentral's name for it is "processed transcript". Lineage: Eukaryota; Metazoa; Chordata; Mammalia; Primates; Hominidae. The record is from RNAcentral.